GACGAACGCUGGCGGCGUGCUUAACACAUGCAAGUCGAACGGAAAGGCCCUGCUUUUGUGGGGUGCUCGAGUGGCGAACGGGUGAGUAACACGUGAGUAACCUGCCCUUGACUUUGGGAUAACUUCAGGAAACUGGGGCUAAUACCGGAUAGGAGCUCCUGCUGCAUGGUGGGGGUUGGAAAGUUUCGGCUGUUGGGGAUGGACUCGCGGCUUAUCAGCUUGUUGGUGGGGUAGUGGCUUACCAAGGCUUUGACGGGUAGCCGGCCUGAGAGGGUGACCGGCCACAUUGGGACUGAGAGACGGCCCAGAAUCCUACGGGAGGCAGCAGUGGGGAAUAUUGCACAAUGGGCGGAAGCGUGAUGCGGCAACGCCGCGUGCGGGAUGACGGCCUUCGGGUUGUAAACCGAUUUCGCCUGUGACGAAGCGUGAGUGACGGUAAUGGGUAAAGAAGCACCGGCUAACUACGUG
Molecule: ribosomal RNA, 468 nt
Filed under: uncultured bacterium
Lineage: Bacteria
Description: partial 16S ribosomal RNA
Rfam family: Bacterial small subunit ribosomal RNA
Source: RNAcentral